GACGAACGCUGGCGGCGUGCCUAAUACAUGCAAGUAGAACGCACAGUUUAUACCGUAGCUUGCUACACCAUAGACUGUGAGUUGCGAACGGGUGAGUAACGCGUAGGUAACCUGCCUGGUAGCGGGGGAUAACUAUUGGAAACGAUAGCUAAUACCGCAUAAUAUUGAUUAUUGCAUGAUAAUUGAUUGAAAGAUGCUACUGCAUCACUACCAGAUGGACCUGCGUUGUAUUAGCUAGUAGGUGAGGUAACGGCUCACCUAGGCGACGAUACAUAGCCGACCUGAGAGGGUGAUCGGCCACACUGGGACUGAGACACGGCCCAGACUCCUACGGGAGGCAGCAGUAGGGAAUCUUCGGCAAUGGACGAAAGUCUGACCGAGCAACGCCGCGUGAGUGAAGAAGGUUUUCGGAUCGUAAAGCUCUGUUGUAAGAGAAGAACGGGUGUGAGAGUGGAAAGUUCACACUGUGACGGUAGCUUACCAGAAAGGGACGGCUAACUACGUG
RNAcentral lists this ribosomal RNA (505 nucleotides) under uncultured bacterium. RNAcentral describes it as "partial 16S ribosomal RNA". It matches the Rfam family "Bacterial small subunit ribosomal RNA", at positions 28 to 507 of the family's 1533-position model. The record is from RNAcentral.